AAACACUAUCCCAACUUCCCAUUUUUGAAACUCACGUAAUAUACAUUACGUUUCUCUCUCCCUUUCCAUUAAUUUUAGCCGUUUUUUUCUCCUCAGAAUCUAUCCAUUACCAUCAAGCACGAUUCCACUACAAUUUAUUGUGCCGAGAUUUGUGGGUGGUGGUGUAUUUGUGGUUUCCCAAUUUGAGUAGUGAAAAACAUCAAUUAAUGGCGGAUGAAAGCAUAUCUAGUAGGGUUACAAGAGCUUCUGCUGAGAAAUUGGUUGCUGAAAGGAGAUCUAAGAAAAUCCAUGAUCCUGUCAGAAUCAGAAAUCCUUCAACUGUUAAUUUGGAGAAAAAAAAUUAUGAUACUGCCACAAAGAGGAGAAAAACAUCCGAUGUUGCUUCUAAUAGCAAAGGGAAGA
Molecule: long non-coding RNA, 402 nt
Organism: Lycium ferocissimum
Lineage: Eukaryota; Viridiplantae; Streptophyta; Magnoliopsida; Solanales; Solanaceae
Exons: 3
Source: RefSeq, a predicted model, not a curated record